CAAAAACAUGGCCUUUGGGAUAAAAUGUAAGGUCGGACCUGCUCGAUGUUGGAUCAAUGGCCGCAGUAAUUUGACUGUGCUAAGGUAGCAUAAUUAGUUGCCUUUUAAUUGAAGGAUUGUAUGAAGGGUUUGACGAAAGAGAGGCUGUCUCCUUGGUAUUUAGAUGAAAUUGAAUUGUAAGUUAAAAUGCUUAUAUAAAAUGGAGGGACGAAAAGACCCUAAGAUCUUGUCUGGAGUUUUUAUUUAAGAUGUAAACUCUAGUUUUCCAGGGAAGGGUCGUAUGUAGAAACCAUCGUUAAGAAAAAGUCAACCAGGUCRAAUAGAGAACCCGAAAGGAAGUAGGAAAAGUUACCUUAGGGAUAACAGCAGGAUACCAACUAGGGAGAUCAAAUUCUUGGUGGGGCUUCUGACCUCGAUGUUGAAUUAAGGAGUCAUCCAGGAGCAGAUAUUUGGAUAGUGAGAUCGUUCAUCUUUUAAAACCUUACGUGAUCUGA
RNAcentral lists this ribosomal RNA (494 nucleotides) under Pectinopygus setosus. Its description in RNAcentral is "partial 16S ribosomal RNA". It matches the Rfam family "Bacterial large subunit ribosomal RNA", at positions 1808 to 2608 of the family's 2925-position model. Lineage: Eukaryota; Metazoa; Arthropoda; Insecta; Psocodea; Philopteridae. The record is from RNAcentral.